GUGUUUGUUUUGGCAGCACAUAUACUAAAAUUGGAAUGAUACAGAGAAGAUUAGUCUAGCCUCUGUGCAAGGAUGAUGCACAAAUUUGUGAAGCAUUCUGUAUUUUU
This is a small nuclear RNA of Vombatus ursinus (common wombat), 107 nucleotides long. The record is from Ensembl. Lineage: Eukaryota; Metazoa; Chordata; Mammalia; Diprotodontia; Vombatidae.